GCUGUGUGUGUCUGAGGGUGCUGUGUGUGUCUGAGGGUGCUGUGUGUGUCUGGGUGCUGUGUGUGUUUGGGUGCUGUGUGUGUCUGGGUGCUGUGUGUGUUUGGGUGCUGUGUGUGUCUGGGGGUGCUGUGUGUGUUUGGGUUCUGUGUGUGUCUGGGUGCUGUGUGUGUCUGGGUGCUGUGUGUGUUUGGGUGCUGUGUGUGUCU
Pelobates cultripes (western spadefoot toad) is the source of this 206-nucleotide non-coding RNA. Lineage: Eukaryota; Metazoa; Chordata; Amphibia; Anura; Pelobatidae. The record is from the annotation of a GenBank genome assembly.